CGGCAGCGGAGGGUGUCCUGCUCCUGCAUCAACACACUGUUUCUUCCACCUCCAGGGAGAGCUGGCCCCCGUCCGAGUCUGCGGGUCCUGUUACGUUUGGUCACUGCCAGCCUCCAGGGCCCUGGCAUGUGAUGCCAGGUGGACAGAACAGAUGUGGUCCCCGCCCUCGAGAAGCUCAGGGGAAGGGAGACCCACAUCCGGCACGCGGCAGUGGAAGGUGCUGUUGGCAGAUGGGGGCUCAGGGCUCCGUGAGACCCACGGCAGAGGAAGUAACAGGUUAGCCGCGAGGCAAAUGAACACUGAAUGGAGUGUAUUGGGUUAAAAGCAACUGAUCUCCCCUCCCGGCCAAAACCUGCCAGGGGUGUGAAGCAAUGGGAUUUACCGGUACUCAUCUCAGAGCGUUCAACAAGACGUCCCUUCUCAGUACGGAACAUCCCUACAGUCAAGAGAGGACCUUGAAUUCCUUGGAAGAACGACGGAGCUGUAUUUAAAAUUUAUUUCUGGAUAUUUACUUAAGGAUAAUUGCAAAGAAGAUUGGCCCAAAGAAAAUGUGAGCAUUUGUCAGAGGGCAGUAUUGUACUUUUUUCCCUGCUUAUAUGUCUGUCCCUAAGUCCCUACUUCUGGCCUCAAGGCCGUGUGACAUCGAAGCCACAGACUGGAAGGCUGGGGCUCCAGAGACAUAGCUUCAAAGGCUUCCUCUGCCUUCAUCCCGCGGAGGUGACUCGCAGCGACCCCCUAACCUCGCUGGGCCAGGCGCCUCGCUUGUCAAAGAACCGGGCUGGUGACUGGGGGGGGGGGGGGUGUCCUUGUCCGCAGCCUGUGGUCCUGAGCUUCCUGCUACAGUGACCCACGAGAGCCCAGCACAGCGUUGGCACAAGCCUGAGCAUGUGCUAUUGGCGAAAAGAAAAUCACAUUUCUGGUCUGUGACCCGGGGGCUUUGCUUCUGAAGGUGUGGAGCUGCCUUGGGACAGCGGGGGGACCCCGGCAGGAAGCUGUGUCCUAACAGGAGCGUUGGAAGGCACAGGGUCCUUCAGCAAAGAACCAUCGGCUGAGAACAAAGUCUUGUUUUAUGGCCUGUAAUCGAUCUUUCAACAGGUUCCCGGGGCCGCGGGGGUCCAGCCGCCUCUCUGGUCUGUGGCUGAAAGGAAGGGGCCCUGCUCUGUCCGGGGAGCCGGGGAUGUCGCACCAGGGAGUCACCUUCCAGCCUGAGUCUUCCAGAAGAUCAGAGGUGCCGAGAGCAGAGGGCCCGACUCGGCAGCCACGGCAGAGCAGAAGGAGCUCCUGGUUAGAUGCGAACAGGCCUGGGACCCGUCUAAUUCUGCCACUCGCUCUGUGUGACGUCAGGCCAAUGAGGCCACCUCUCUGGGCCUUCUGCUUGCUCGUCUGUGAUGUGAACAGUGUUUACUGAGUGGUUUCUAACCUUGCUCCCAGCACACAUGCAUUGAUUCUUUAGCUUCAGAGACAUGGGAUGUGACGUGUGGAAAGCAGACUGGAAACUGGGAUUUAGACUGAAACCUUCAGGCGCUGCGCUGGGAUCUAGUGGAUGGGACAGCUCCCACCCUCGCCGCCAUCCCUCGACCCGGCCCAGCUGGGGCCUCGCUCCGUGGUAUCGUGCGGACCCAAAGGGAACAGCCGGGCUCCCAGGAGAGGUACGUGUCCUGUGCACAGCUGCACACAGUGUAGCAUCUCAAAAGAAGCACAUCAAAUCUAUUCAUACGGAUUACAUUAGCAAAUUAGAAUUCUUGAAAGUUGCAAUCAACAUCAAAAGCAAAAUGUCUUAAUUGUUCCAUUUAAAUCAUAAAAUGCUAUUUUUAGAACGUGCAAAAGCACCUGUUGUAAUAGUUAAACCCUUGAUCCAUUGUUACUCAGAGCCUUGUUUGUAUUAAUUAGGAA
This is a long non-coding RNA of Hippopotamus amphibius kiboko, 1893 nucleotides long. RefSeq lists it as uncharacterized. The record is from RefSeq and is a predicted model, not a curated record. The transcript is spliced from 5 exons. NCBI's taxonomy places the organism in Eukaryota, Metazoa, Chordata, Mammalia, Artiodactyla, Hippopotamidae.